RNAcentral lists this ribosomal RNA (253 nucleotides) under uncultured bacterium. Its description in RNAcentral is "partial 16S ribosomal RNA". It matches the Rfam family "Bacterial small subunit ribosomal RNA", at positions 524 to 776 of the family's 1533-position model. The record is from RNAcentral.
GACGUAGGGGGCAAGCGUUGUUCGGAAUUAUUGGGCGUAAAGCGCUCGUAGGCGGGACUGGAAGUCCGUGUUGAAAGACCUCGGCUCAACUGAGGGACCGGCGCGGAUACUCUAGUUCUUGAGGCAAUCAGAGGGUGAUGGAAUUCCCGGUGUAGCGGUGAAAUGCGUAGAUAUCAGGAGGAACACCGGUGGCGAAGGCGGGUCUCUGGGCCGUUACUGACGCUGAGGAGCGAAAGCGUGGGGAGCGAACAGG